UAUAUAUAUAUAUAUAUACACAUUGGAGGGAUCAACCUUUUAGCACAUUUACAUGGUCAUGGGUUCUUGAUUUUGUUGUUGUUGCUGUUUAAUUUUGGGAAUUUAUGGACUUAUAGACUAGAUUUUUCCUGUCAGAGAUUUCUGAUUUAAUAACUGAAUUUCGAAUCUUUGUUAGUCCAUUUUGUGUUCUGGGUUUUGGUUGGUG
Molecule: unclassified non-coding RNA, 205 nt
Filed under: Hevea brasiliensis (rubber tree)
Lineage: Eukaryota; Viridiplantae; Streptophyta; Magnoliopsida; Malpighiales; Euphorbiaceae
Source: RNAcentral